This 615-nucleotide long non-coding RNA is filed under the name Rattus norvegicus (Norway rat). Its description in RNAcentral is "long non-coding RNA NONRATT033167". The record is from RNAcentral. Lineage: Eukaryota; Metazoa; Chordata; Mammalia; Rodentia; Muridae.
CAUGACAACAGCGGCCUCACCGACCUGCUCUCUGACCACUCGGUGUGUGCACCAAGGAGCCAACAGGGAGGAAACUCCAGACUGUCUUGGGAGUUUCAGAUCCUCCUCUCUGGAUGCCUGUGAGAAGCAAGGUUGUUUCUCUUUAAGAACUGUGACAGCAGCCGGACAGGAGGACCUCAGGGAAUUCUGUGAAAGCGGGGCACCAGAGGCAUCAAGGACAGCACAAGAAAACCCACAGAAUCAACUAACUUGGGCUCAUAGGGGAUCUCGGAGACUGAAUGGACGACCAGGGAGCCUGCACGGGACUGACUUAGGCCCUCUGCAUGUGUAUUACAGCGAUGCAGUUUGGUCUUCACGAAGGACUCCUGACAGCGAGAGCAGAGGUUGUCUCUGACUCUAUUGUUGGCUAUUGGGGACCCUUUCCUCCUACUGGGUUGUACAACAGAAUGUAAAGAGGAGACAUGUUCUGUAUUGUUUUGGCUUGGAGAGCGAUUUCUUCCAUUACUAAACAUUUAACAUGCUUUUAUGAAGUCUAUUCACUAUGACUUUGGCAAUUAACAUUACUUCCAAAAACAAAACAAAACACCAGAAAGAUGUAUUUGCCAUAGAUUGAAG